AUGUGUUCUUGUGUGAGAGAGAGGGCGGUGUUUCUCACUUUCGCUACGCUGCCCAAUUUUAUAAGACAGGCGAAGGGUGCGUGCAGGAGGAAUCUUCGACGCGAGUGCGCGCACGGGCACGCGCACGAGGACACGCGCUCACAGCUGUCUGAGAGAAAAAGAGAAAGCGAGAGAGGCAGGGAGCAUUUGCGGCGGCCUCGCGCUUAUAAUGGCUGCCGGGAAAAGCAGAGCAGAGGAAAAUCGGCUACAUUGGGAAUAACGUCGUGCACAGAGACAAAUAUGCUCAAGCUGUUUCAAAAACCAAAGGUAAUUACAAUAGCAAAACACAACGUCCUAUUAUAAAUAUUAAAUGGAUUCAGAGUUGACUCUUAUGUUGUGUGAAUGUGAACUCUUAACACUAAUGUUGCUCUGAAAGAGGACGUUAUUAUGGAUCGCAUAACACUAAAAUAUUGUCUGUUAUUCUAAACAAGUUCUUGGAAACCUCUUUAAGACAAACUCUUAUGCAGCAGAUAAGUGAGAUAAAGCCCACUCUUGUAUUAUCUUGAAGAGCCAGACUAUUGACAAGUGGAUUUCAUUGUGUAGCUAGCGUCAGUCCAGGCACCACCCACUAGACAGAAAGCAGCUGAUAUCUGACCCACGUGAAAAGCAAGCAACCACAGUUGUUUUUAAUGUAAAAUCUGAAAACUGAUACUGCCACGAUAUUUGGUUGUUGUACCUCACAUUUCAGCUUGUUCAAAUAAUGUUAAUGGGAAAUGAUUAGAGGUAACUCACUGGCUACAUUUGGUGACGCUUUGCUACUCAUUACCUCAAACAAAACUGAAUAUCUUUCAAAGAUGAAUGUUUGUAAAUUCUGUGACUAGCCUCAUGCUAUUAAACCGUUUCCUUUCCUGAGAGACUGAAAAACCCUUGUACACCCCUGACUCCCAGAAGCAGUGCAGCGGUCAGCCAGUGCAAGUUGAAUUGGCAGCUCUUGCCAGUUUAGAGUAGUGCAUGUAUCGGACAGUCUGUCUGAGACUGAGACUAAUUAUUGUAGAACAAGUGAUGUUAAGAGAAACCUGAUACAACAGCUUGCUGCUCUAAUGGGCCAUAGCAGGUUUAUUUAUUUUUUUCUGCUGUACAGUUGAAAUCAACAUUGCAGAUGAUAUUGAUAUCAGUGUCAUGCCAGAUGGAUCCCUAGUGGUGAGCUUUGUGUGCUUAAUAAUUCUCUGCUUCAAUUGUCAUGCCUGCUUUGGAAUAAAAUUAAAUUCUGGCUGAUACA
Molecule: long non-coding RNA, 1258 nt
Organism: Cyprinus carpio (common carp)
Lineage: Eukaryota; Metazoa; Chordata; Actinopteri; Cypriniformes; Cyprinidae
Source: Ensembl